This 74-nucleotide transfer RNA is filed under the name Cronartium comandrae C4. RNAcentral describes it as "tRNA-Und (NNN) (tRNA-Und-NNN-1-1, tRNA-Und-NNN-1-2)". It matches the Rfam family "tRNA". Rfam says of the family: Transfer RNA (tRNA) molecules are approximately 80 nucleotides in length. Their secondary structure includes four short double-helical elements and three loops (D, anti-codon, and T loops). The record is from RNAcentral. Lineage: Eukaryota; Fungi; Basidiomycota; Pucciniomycetes; Pucciniales; Coleosporiaceae.
GCCUCUGUAGCUCAGUGGUACAGAGCAGUCAUUCUGGUAUCAGAUGGUCAUGGGUUCAAAUCCCAUCAGAGGUA